CCAAGAAUGCUCUUAAAGGGGCAGGCGGACCGCGCCUCGUCGCUGUGGCAACGCGCGGCGGCGGCAGGCCCGAUGCAGGCCUGAGUCAGGCCUAAGGGUGGGCCCCAACAGCACGCGGGGGAAACCCACACAGAGGGGGUGCAGGGAGUUCCGACCUGCCCCAUGGGGUGAAGGGGGAGAGCACCGAAGUGGGGGACUCAGGGAAACACAGUGCAUCGGAUGCAAUCUGCAUUGUAACACAGCUUUGGUUUCAGUCUUGUGCUUCCGAAAAAGCAUUAAAUCUCCAGACCUCAGGGGCUGGAAUUGCCAGGAGCUGGAAUUGCGCAUAUAUUUAUGUGGAGUAAAUCAAUAUUUAGAUCUAAUUUUGUGCUUAUGGCUUGUGAGGCCCUGUUUAUGGCAGCCUGGCACCCUCACUGCACAGAAGGGCUUUUCCAUCCGGGUCGGAGGGCUCCAAGCUUCAGCACCCGGACUGACCACAUUCUGAUACACCUGCAGUGAUGUGAAGAUAACAUCGGUUAAACGCCUGCUUAUUUCUGCUUGGCGAGAACAAUAUAAGCCACUUAACUACACAUCCAAGAUAGACCGAUCCAAAUGUGCUGAAAUUUUCAAGGAGAAAGCGUGGUGGUAUUGUUUGUUUCUGGGAAGAAAAGCGAGCAGAUGAAAAGCAAACAUACAGCAAUAGCUGGGGGGUCCUGGAAGCUCCUGCAGCAGUUCAAAGGAAAAGGGAACAACAAUGGAAGCAUCGGAUCAAGACAUACUGAAGCUUUGAAGAUUGUAUCAGUUAUGGAUGAAUUAAAGCGUGCAAUAAUUAGCACUGAAAGAUACAACGACACCUGAA
Long non-coding RNA from Numida meleagris (helmeted guineafowl), 838 nucleotides. RefSeq lists it as uncharacterized. Lineage: Eukaryota; Metazoa; Chordata; Aves; Galliformes; Numididae. The record is from RefSeq and is a predicted model, not a curated record. The transcript has 4 exons.